RNA transcript from Galeopterus variegatus (Sunda flying lemur), 3598 nucleotides. The record is from RefSeq and is a predicted model, not a curated record. NCBI's taxonomy places the organism in Eukaryota, Metazoa, Chordata, Mammalia, Dermoptera, Cynocephalidae.
UGGGUCCUAAGCAUCCCUGCAUGCUUAGUUUUGGUAAUGAGGAUGUGAUGUUGUGAUAAAGACAUGGCUUUCUGGAAGAAGGACAAAGGAUCUCACAGGCCACUUUCAGGGAUAUUGUUAGAUUCACAGGGAUCUGUUAGCAGAUGUUCUCACCCAGUGGGGCCCCACUUUCCUACCUGUUGAUAAAAGUUUACAGGCUGAGUGGUGAGAGUAGGAUUGAAACAAGCCCCUGGAUGUGGCCUUGGUUAUUGUUCACACUCUUCCAGGUGAAGACAAAAGAAUGUAAUAAAAAUGGGGCAGGAAGCCUUGCAUCCUAGCCAAAAAGUAAUCCUGAGCCAAGGAGCUCCCAAAGCUGAGAAAAGUCAGUAAUGAAGAUAUAGCUUUCUGUGGAGCAAAAAUAGUAUAUAUUCAAAAGAACCCAAGUGCUCACAGGAUGCCAAGAGGCAUAUGAGGAGGGAGGCAGUACCAACUCUGGCGCGAAAGACCAAGGAAGGAAAAAAAUCUUCCCUACCAUUCCCUAUGACACCCUGCCCUCUCCAAUCUUCUGAAUGAGGAUUAGCAUGAUCUCCUGGUGGCUGUGGCUUUAGCCCCUGAUGUGCAUAAAUGAAACUCCUUGGUCUGUGUUCCUGCAGCAGAAAAAAUGUGCCCAAAUUCAAUUGAUGGGUUUGCAGUGCAAAAGGAGCUGACAUGUAGGGUUUUUGAGCCAAUUUAGUAUAUCACUGCGGUUCCUAAUGCUUACUGUGUAAUUGACAAGGAUAUUUUACAUGCCUAUACUGAGAACACUCAUGUAUUAAAGGGGAUUCUCCCAUUCAGGGACUGUCACAUAGAAGUGACCGCAGUUCCCUUCUAUCUGGUUCAACAGAAACAACAGAGAAUCUAGGAGAAGAGGAAAUCAUAGCUUUAAAGACUUAAUGGCUGUCGGAGAACUCAGAGUGGACAAGGUCGGGAGGCAGAAAGGAAUGAGCCUUGUACUGAGAGCUGGGCUUCAAGGACUGAUUCAUCUUUCAAAGAUAACUUUGAUGGUGGGGAAAAAAAAUCAUAAUAUGUAGAUACUUACAUAUUGUGCAAUUACUAUCUGCCAGCCAUGGAACUAGAUUCCAUACGACCAUUAUUUCCUACAAGAGAAUAACUUCCAAGGUUUAACAAUGAUUAUUUAUAUCCAGAUGAAUGGACAAAAAAAGAUGGCUAGAUGUAUUUGUUUUAACUGAAAUCAAGUAAGUUCAUUUUCUAUUUCUGCAUUCUUGUAUGUUUUACUUAAAAUUACAUAAAACACUUAUGAUUAAAAUAUACCAAAUUAACUUCCGGUGUAGUCAUGGGGGCUAAUGCUACUACCAACCUGUUACAGCUGCUGCUGCUAGAACUUGUGGACAAAUGUAUAGGAUCAAGAAUUUACACUGUGAUGAAGAGUGAUAAGGAAAUUGUUGAUACACUUCUAGGAUUUGAUGACUUUGUCAAUAUGGUGCUGGAAGAUGUUAAAGAGUUUGAAAUCACACCAGAAGGAAGAAGGACUACUAAAUUAGAUCAGAUUCUGAUAAAUGGAAAUAAUAUAACAAUGCUGGUUCCUGGAGAAGGAACUGAAGUAUGAAUGGGUUUCCUUGACUUAUGUUAGAUUCUGUUUUGUCUUAUAAUGGCAACAAAAUAUAAUUUUUUUUACCUUCUAAUGUUUUAGAUCCUAUAAAGCUAAGUUUCCCAUUAAAGGGAAAUGCUUUGAAAAUGUAUGCCCAUUUUUAUAAGUUAAUCAUGAUUAUCUUGGAAAAGGAAGAAAGGAAUUCUUUUCCGAAGACCAAAAUAAAGGUGUUUUUGGUUAAAUAAAAUAAAAUACACCAAAUUAAUUUUUUAAAUCUUCAAUAUAGACUCAGCUUGAGAACAAGAGGUGACAUAAAAAAUCCAGAAAAUGUUGGAUAUUUCAAAAGACAGAUACUUCUUCCCAACAUCUAUUAGAACAUUUAGAAGUUUUCUUACUUGCCAGCCCCCCACCACAUAAAAUCCUCCCCCAUGUAAUUGGAAUCUCCAAGUUCAAACUCUCAUCUAACCAUCUCCCUCCCAUGAACUCAUCAUUCCACAAACUCUCCUUCAGGUUUACUCUUCUUGGUCAUAAAUGGCUCUGGGGAACCCAGAAGCUACCCAGGACUCACAAGUUCUGGAUUCUAAGGUUCUAAGAGCCCAUGAUCCCUUUAAGAUUCAUAAUAAAUCCUCAUCCCUCCCCUCUCCUCUUCCCUUCCUGGAGAGAGGCUUACUCUAGGGCCUAACACCUGAAUCACAGAAGCCAGUUGUGGGGGCCUUGAUUCCCACCCCUUUCCCUAAGGCCUGGAAAGAGGUGUCCCUGAGGUCAAGGUAUAAAGGGCCCCCUCAAGAGGGGAAAGAAGGGGCAACAAGGCAGGGGAGAGGAGGGAAUGACAAUGGAGAGGAAACAGCUCCAGAAAACCAGGACCCCUGGGAUUGAAUCAAGACAGCACUCCCACAAAGCCUCAUGGGAAAGUGGCCUCUAAAGGCAGACCUCCUAAGAUGCUACCCUGCAGGCACCACUCAAUAAUAAAGGAAAAUUUGGGAUACAAAGAGAGAAGUCUGUACUGAAGAACAAGUCUGAGGGACAAAGGAGCAUUCCCUCGUGUGCACUGAGAGAGAAGUCUGCAUUGAGGGAUAAAGCUCAAAAAAAGGGGCGAGGCCUUUGUAGGGCUAAAUAAAACCACCAAGAAAUGGGCAGAGCCAGAGACAUUUAGGGGUGGGCCUGAAGGAUGAGGUCAGCAGGGAAACAGGGACUACUUUGAUCUCAGUUGUACUUAUUUGGCCUUGCAGCCAUUCAAAUAUGAGACCCCUUAUUCUUCAGAAAUAAGUCAUCAGUCCUUACCCCCAAAGAUUCAGCUAUUCCUUCCUCCAUCCCUCCUCCUUCCACAACCCUUUAUUCUGAAGAUCUUACAACAUCUCAAGCUUGCAGAGAUGGAGCCGUUACAGACCUGAUUUCAAUCACUUUUCCAGAAGACACAAGAAAGAGGGACUCCUGCACCCAAAGUUAUCUGCCCUGGCCUGGACAGAGGUCCUCUCUGCAUCUCUUCCUGUGACUGCCUGGACUGGUGUCUCUACAGUGUCUAUUGUGGAUUUAAUACAAAAUAAACAUUUUUUUCUUCCCCUCAUAAUUAAAGCAGAUAUAAGAUUGUUAAUUUCUCCAUUUUUGUUUUCCAGUGGGAGAAGCAGCUUUGAGAUCACAUGGAAUAAUGGUGUCCCCCUCCUUCCCUGCUCAGCAACCCCAAAGAAAACACAAACACACACUUCCCUCUGUGGCUUUUAGCUAAGGCAGCAUAAUGGUGGUAGACCAGGCAGUAGAGCCUGAUCUGAAAUGUGGUGGGAGAACCUACAUUCCAGGUACUCCUAGCCUUUACCUCCAACCAGGCUAACCUUGACAAUUCCCUGGAGAACAACCACUUCCAGUGAGAGAGAGCAGACAUCGGCUUCUGGACCAGCUACUCUUUUUCUCUCUCCUCCUUCUUCCUCUCCAGCAUCAAAACCAAGCCAAGUUUUGGGGGGUUAUACAGUCAUCCUUCUCCUUCCUCUCUUGUCAAAUAAAGACACUGGGGCUUGAGUGGACAGCUCUCCAAGGUAC